Molecule: ribosomal RNA, 243 nt
Filed under: uncultured bacterium
Lineage: Bacteria
Description: partial 16S ribosomal RNA
Rfam family: Bacterial small subunit ribosomal RNA
Source: RNAcentral
CGAUGUGGAGCGAAUCCAGAAAAUAAUGUCCCAGUUCAGAUUGCAGGCUGCAACUCGCCUGCAUGAAGUCGGAAUUGCUAGUAAUCGCAGAUCAGCAUGCUGUGGUGAAUACGUUCCCGGGUCUUGUACACACCGCCCGUCACACCAUGGGAGUCGGAAAUGCCCGAAGUCAGUGACCCAACCGUAAGGAGGGAGCUGCCGAAGGUGGAGCCGGUAACUGGGGUGAAGUCGUAACAAGGUAAC